AACAAAUCCCAACACCACCAAAGAACCCUUAAAUAAUACUGAGUAAUUCUAUAUAAAUAUAGAAAAUAUUAUGUUAAAACUAGUAACAAGAAGAAGAACUUCUCCUACAAUGCAAAUGUAAAUCAGACAGGACACCCCGCUGAUAAUUAACACCAAUGAGCAUAAAAUAGCAACCCAACAAGAAAACCCUACUACACCAUGUGUUAAACUGACACCAGAGCAUUUCAAGAAAGAUUUAAAGAAAAAGAAGGAACUCGGCAAACAUUAACCUCGCCUGUUUACCAAAAACAUCGCCUCUUGAAUAAGUAUAAGAGGUCCAGCCUGCCCAGUGACAAUGUUCAACGGCCGCGGUAUCCUAACCGUGCGAAGGUAGCGUAAUCACUUGUUCUUUAAAUAAGGACUAGUAUGAACGGCACCACGAAGGUUACACUGUCUCCUUUUUCUAAUCAGUGAAACUAAUCUCCCCGUGAAGAAGCGGGGAUAAGAAUAUAAGACGAGAAGACCCUAUGGAGCUUUAAACUACAAGGCACUUGCCCCUAUAUCAACCAAAUUCCAGAAAAUCAUUACCACCCAGGCAAUAUGACCCUUAGUUUUAGGUUGGGGUGACCGCGGAGCAAAAAAGAACCUCCACAUUGAAAGGAGACCUCUCCUUAGCCAAGAGCCACACCUCUAAGCACCAACAAAAAGACAUUAAUUGACCCAAUAUUUUGAUCAACGAACCAAGUUACCCUAGGGAUAACAGCGCAAUCCACUUCAAGAGCUCCUAUCGACAAGUGGGUUUACGACCUCGAUGUUGGAUCAGGGUACCCCGGUGGUGCAGCCGCUACCAAAGGUUCGUUUGUU
RNAcentral lists this ribosomal RNA (843 nucleotides) under Hyalinobatrachium cf. munozorum QCAZ 31056. RNAcentral describes it as "partial 16S ribosomal RNA". It matches the Rfam family "Bacterial large subunit ribosomal RNA", at positions 1497 to 2581 of the family's 2925-position model. The record is from RNAcentral. Lineage: Eukaryota; Metazoa; Chordata; Amphibia; Anura; Centrolenidae.